AUGUAGCUGAAUGGUAGAGCACUUGUCUAGCAUGCGUGAGGCCCAGGGUUCAAUUCCCAGCAU
RNAcentral lists this transfer RNA (63 nucleotides) under Ictidomys tridecemlineatus (thirteen-lined ground squirrel). RNAcentral describes it as "Spermophilus tridecemlineatus (thirteen-lined ground squirrel) tRNA". It matches the Rfam family "tRNA", at positions 5 to 66 of the family's 71-position model. From Rfam's summary of the family: Transfer RNA (tRNA) molecules are approximately 80 nucleotides in length. Their secondary structure includes four short double-helical elements and three loops (D, anti-codon, and T loops). Further hydrogen bonds mediate the characteristic L-shaped molecular structure. tRNAs have two regions of fundamental functional importance: the anti-codon, which is responsible for specific mRNA codon recognition, and the 3' end, to which the tRNAs corresponding amino acid is attached (by aminoacyl-tRNA synthetases). tRNAs cope with the degeneracy of the genetic code in two manners: having more than one tRNA (with a specific anti-codon) for a particular amino acid; and 'wobble' base-pairing, i.e. permitting non-standard base-pairing at the 3rd anti-codon position. The record is from Rfam by way of RNAcentral. Lineage: Eukaryota; Metazoa; Chordata; Mammalia; Rodentia; Sciuridae.